This 482-nucleotide ribosomal RNA is filed under the name uncultured bacterium. RNAcentral describes it as "partial 16S ribosomal RNA". It matches the Rfam family "Bacterial small subunit ribosomal RNA", at positions 30 to 507 of the family's 1533-position model. The record is from RNAcentral.
AUUGAACGCUGGCGGCAUGCUUUACACAUGCAAGUCGAACGGUAACAGGCCGCAAGGUGCUGACGAGUGGCGAACGGGUGAGUAAUGCAUCGGAACGUGCCCAGUCGUGGGGGAUAACUACUCGAAAGAGUAGCUAAUACCGCAUACGAUCUAUGGAUGAAAGCGGGGGACCGUAAGGCCUCGCGCGAUUGGAGCGGCCGAUGUCAGAUUAGGUAGUUGGUGGGGUAAAGGCUCACCAAGCCAACGAUCUGUAGCUGGUCUGAGAGGACGACCAGCCACACUGGGACUGAGACACGGCCCAGACUCCUACGGGAGGCAGCAGUGGGGAAUUUUGGACAAUGGGCGCAAGCCUGAUCCAGCAAUGCUGCGUGCAGGAAGAAGGCCUUCGGAUUGUAAACUGCUUUUGUACGGAACGAAACGGCUCUGGUUAAUACCCGGGGCUAAUGACGGUACCGUAAGAAUAAGCACCGGCUAACUACGUG